Long non-coding RNA from Harmonia axyridis, 616 nucleotides. RefSeq lists it as uncharacterized. The record is from RefSeq and is a predicted model, not a curated record. The transcript is spliced from 3 exons. Lineage: Eukaryota; Metazoa; Arthropoda; Insecta; Coleoptera; Coccinellidae.
UGCAGUUUUCAAAACGUCAUAUUCAUUUUCGAAAUAUCUCGUCAAGAAUACGAGAAAAACAAGAAAAUGGCAUAGAUCAACUCAAGUUAUAAAUAAAUAAUAAAUAUUUGCUUCUGAACCUAUUGAAAAUAUUGUAUCAACUGGUUUUGGUUAUAUUGACUAUAAAAUCAUACACAAAUAAAAGAAUCGACUGCACUAUUUGUUUAAAAAUGAUCGAUCAGUAGUGAUUAAAUGGUUGAAAUUUCUUUGGGAAAGCCUGUCCUCCAGAAUUCUCAUAACAUUAAUAAAACAUACCUACCUAAAUCCCAGCUCGAAACAAAUUUACUACAUGUCUCCAAAGUGUAACUGUUCGAAGAAGGCAGAAGAAAUCAUAAAGAACAAGUUCCCAGAAAUCACUCUUGUUGUAAUGUUCACCAUAUACUUUCUCGUCUCAUUCAUCAGAGACAAUCUGUACAAAGGACCACCAUCGAAAUCGAUAUAGAGGAUGAAUUGCUAUAAUAGUUCGAGGAAUAUCCUGAAAGAUCUGAGGAAAUGAAAUGGACAUUCCUAGUUUAUUUAGACUUCUAUCUGCAUAUACAGGAUGGCCCAAAUAUAACAUGCCUAGUCGAACAUUUCC